GACGAACGCUGGCGGCGUGCUUAACACAUGCAAGUCGAACGGUGAAGCGCCUUCCUUUUUGGUGGGUGUGGAUGAGUGGCGAACGGGUGAGUAACACGUGAGUAACCUGCCCCCUUCUUCUGGAUAACCGCAUGAAAGUGUGGCUAAUACGGGAUAUUCUGGGUCUGUCGCAUGAUGGGUCUGGGAAAGAUAUUGUUUCGGUGGGGGAUGGGCUCGCGGCCUAUCAGCUUGUUGGUGGGGUGAUGGCCUACCAAGGCGGUGACGGGUAGCCGGCCUGAGAGGGUUGACGGUCACACUGGGGAUUAGACACGGCCCAGACUCCUACGGGAGGCAGCAGUGGGGAAUAUUGCACAAUGGGCGCAAGCCUGAUGCAGCGACGCCGCGUGAGGGAUGGAGGCCUUCGGGUUGUGAACCUCUUUCGCCAGUGAAGCAGGCCUGCCUCGUUUGUGGGUGGGUUGACGGUAGCUGGAUAAGAAGCGCCGGCUAACUACGUG
This 494-nucleotide ribosomal RNA is filed under the name uncultured bacterium. RNAcentral describes it as "partial 16S ribosomal RNA". It matches the Rfam family "Bacterial small subunit ribosomal RNA", at positions 28 to 507 of the family's 1533-position model. The record is from RNAcentral.